This 257-nucleotide ribosomal RNA is filed under the name uncultured bacterium. RNAcentral's name for it is "partial 16S ribosomal RNA". It matches the Rfam family "Bacterial small subunit ribosomal RNA", at positions 524 to 776 of the family's 1533-position model. The record is from RNAcentral.
UACGAAGGGGGGCGAGCGUUGUUCGGAAUUACUGGGCGUAAAGGGCGCGUAGGCGGCCGAUCAAGUCAGAUGUGAAAGUCCUGGGCUUAACCUGGGGGACUGCAUUUGAUACUGAUUGACUUGAAUUCGGGAGAGGAUAGCGGAAUUCCCCAGUGUAGAGGUGAAAUUCGUAGAUAUUGGGAAGAACACCGGUGGCGAAGGCGGCUAUCUGGACCGACAUUGACGCUGAUGCGCGAAAGCGUGGGGGAGCAAACAGG